Molecule: long non-coding RNA, 572 nt
Organism: Pogoniulus pusillus (Red-fronted tinkerbird)
Lineage: Eukaryota; Metazoa; Chordata; Aves; Piciformes; Lybiidae
Exons: 3
Source: RefSeq, a predicted model, not a curated record
UCUCUCAGGCUGUGCCCCGGGAGCUGCCCUCUGAAGCACCUGUGUGUGGCCGCUUGGCGCGACCCGCGGCACAGGUGGGCCUGCUGCUUGCCGCCGUCUCAGAGCAGGCGAGGCUGGCGCGGGCUGGGCGGGACAGCGGCGGGAGGCAGGCGUGUGCCAGGCAGCGGCUGCGGCUGCCGCGGCGUGAGGGCAGGAGCAGGGUGAAAACAGGAGCAGCCAUCAAGCGAGCCGGAACACCAACCGGGCGGCAGAGGAAGUGAUGUACACUGGCAUCUACUUUGCUGCUCUGGAGUCCUAUGCACAGAUGAGCACUCGAUUACAAGACUUUCAGGCUUCAGUGAGGAACCUGAACCUGAGAAUCACCAAACCUCAGAGAUCAGAGUGAAGAAGUUUUGCCACCAUUCUUGUUUUGAGCAGCUGCCAAGAUCCACUAAACUUUUGUAUUCUCUUCCCAAAACUGAAGCAUCUCCAUGUUUGCAUAUUAGAAAACCAGGACACAUCAUGUGUCCUAGGAGGCUUUUUCUCCUAACUCCUAAUAGCCUUUUUUUUCUCCUGUGAACAUACAUUUUAGC